RNA transcript from Eucalyptus grandis, 1679 nucleotides. It is a transcript of the gene named CDP-diacylglycerol--glycerol-3-phosphate 3-phosphatidyltransferase 2, with no coding region annotated. Lineage: Eukaryota; Viridiplantae; Streptophyta; Magnoliopsida; Myrtales; Myrtaceae. The record is from RefSeq and is a predicted model, not a curated record. The transcript is spliced from 7 exons.
CCCGCUCCGCCGCCGCCGCCGCCGCUAACCGCCAUGCCGAGCGUCAACCUGAGAUUCUCGGCCUCCCUUCGCGGCCCCCACCCGCACAAAUUGAUCCGAUUCCUCGCGAGCGGCGCUACCGCCUCCGCGAUUCCGUCUGCUCGGGGCCGUUCGUCGCCCCUCACGAAACCUAGCGCGAACGCGCGGCCAUCGCCGGCGGCGGCGGCACUGCCGCGCGCGUGGGUCGCGGCGCCGUUGAACGGUCGCUACGGAAGCCUUCGCGGAAGGACCUCGAAUGGCGUCGGACCGUACCUUGUCCGGCGGGCGGGCGGCGGCUGUAAGUGCGUCUCUAGUUCCAGCUCGUCCGGCCUCGAGGGCGGCAAAAGUGAGGGCUUGUUGCGUGAUGAUGAUGGAAAGAGCAGCUCGCAAUCGGAAAGCGGGAAUCAUCGGCCGCCAGCGCCGCCGGUGCAGAAUCAGGAAGAAAAGGCUGAUCAGCUGUUGACGUUGCCGACGAUUUUAACGCUUGCUCGUGUCGCCGCCGUGCCCCUUCUUGUUAGUACCUUUUAUGUGGAUACAAGGUGGGGUACUACAGCUACAACAGGCAUUUUCAUUGCAGCAGCAAUUACGGAUUGGCUCGAUGGAUACCUUGCUCGUAAGAUGGGUUCAGGCUCUGCAUUUGGUGCUUUUCUAGACCCUGUAGCUGAUAAGCUUAUGGUCGCAGCCAUAUUGAUCCUGCUGUGUAGCAGACCUUUGGAAAUUUCUGUGUUUGGACAGCUGCCGUGGCUAAUCACUGCUCCUGCUAUUGCUAUCAUAGGUAGAGAGAUAACUAUGUCUGCUGUGAGAGAAUGGGCUGCCUCUCAAGAUAGUAAGCUUUUAGAGCAAAAAUAUCUCAGGCUGUUGCUGUAAAUAAAUUGGGGAAGUGGAAAACUGCUGCUCAGAUGACAGCACUUACCAUUUUACUGGCUACUCGAGACAGCAGUCUCAGAGGAGCUGAAUCUUUAGUGGCUUCUGGAGUUGUGUUGCUCUACACCUCAGCAGGGCUAGCAUUAUGGUCUCUGGUAGUGUAUAUGAAGAAGAUAUGGAAAGUGUUACUCAAAUAGCAUUCUUAGCCUUCAGAACGCUUUUUUUGGCCAACCUUACCUUUUACUUGUCUGGUGCCUGCACGGUGCUCCUCAGCUAAGGUUUUGAAUGGCGGUAAACUAGACUCUUAACACUGUUCCUCAGUACACUAACUUAGUGAUUUUCUCUCCUUGGAAUUUGUGCAAAGGUCAGUAACAGAUAUCAUCGGCGUUCUUGUUUUCCCUCCUGUAAAUUUGGCGUGUUCACCAGCAUCCUUAUCGCAAAUCCUGGAAAUUCUGCCUAUCAAGGAUGGUGUAAAGGGCCAACAAUUCGAUAUCUUCAUCUUUCGGAAGACCUCUCUCAUGGGGAUGCAUAUAGGGUGUGUGGGGUUCUCCCUUGGGUUUUUCUUUCCCCUGCUAGCAUUUUUUAGUGUUGUCAAAGUUGCUGGUGUCCAGGAUCAUGUUUGAUUAAGCAUUAAUUUGUUGGAUUCACAUUCUUGACUUAAGAAAGUGCUGAAUCAGUUGUUAUAUUGGUUGAAUUUUGUAGCCUUUGAGGGGUAUGUCAACUUUGCGAACAUUGCUAAUCUUAUUCAGGUUUUGCCUGACUGAGGUAUAUACAUGUCCACUUUACAGUCUGCAUUA